UGGGUUUGUUGGGUGCAUUUUACAAAAAUCCAGACUUUCUCUAUAAUUUUCAGGCCUUGGAGCUGUCCUCCUGAACUCUUGUCAGCGUAUGACAUUCUAAGUGACCUAGAAUUGAGAGAUGUUUUCUGCACAGCCCAGAACAGCUGUCUGGCAGCUGCACAGCGGAGGAAGCUUAUGUGGUCCUCUUGAAAGAUAUUUUCUGCGGUCUCGCAGAAGAGGAACUCCCAUGUGGGAGAGAAGUGGCAGACUUCUCCCUGAGGGGCAUAGCGGUGGGGACCACACAGCUGGAAGAAUCGUGCAGAACGCACAGCGCUUCACCUUCGACAGCACUUCCCAGGCUACAGGCUGCUUUAGAGGCAGACCUCAUAUACAGCCAAUUGGACCAGCAUUGUGUAUGUGAACCUGGACAGCAAUUCAGCUCAUACAUUGGACAGCAACCUAUGCGAUGGCCUCUUAGGAAACAUCUUCUGGUCCACUCAUCUCAUCUUGGAAAUCUGAAAUCAGACAUGCUGAGAAAAGGAGGUGGGCAGAAAUGGAGGCAGAAGUUAAAAGUGAAGACAGAGAAAAGCUCGGUAUAGAAGAGGCCAUGAGGGCUAAAGCAAAUCAGAGUUACAAGGAAGUAGAAACACACAUCAGCAGAAACCAAGAUAGACAAGAGGUCUUCAGCGUGCCGGGGAAAGGAUAAGGCCCUGAGUGGUGGGAUUCGGGUGGAUUAGAGCAGACAUAUGAAGCCAUGGCAGUGGCUGAGCACCAUGGGGAAGAUCCCUGAAUCCUGCUUGUUCUGGAGUUCUCACUUCCUGAGACCUGCUCUGCCUGGAGCCACGCCUGUCGUAGGAUCCUGAGCACAUGUAUCCUCACAAUAAGACAGCUGUUAUUUGAAAUAUCUCACGUGGAUCUCUUUUUCUUGCAAAUAAAUUCCCAAAAAAAGUGCA
This is a long non-coding RNA of Equus caballus (horse), 932 nucleotides long. Lineage: Eukaryota; Metazoa; Chordata; Mammalia; Perissodactyla; Equidae. The record is from Ensembl.